This 253-nucleotide ribosomal RNA is filed under the name uncultured bacterium. RNAcentral's name for it is "partial 16S ribosomal RNA". It matches the Rfam family "Bacterial small subunit ribosomal RNA", at positions 524 to 776 of the family's 1533-position model. The record is from RNAcentral.
UACGGGGGUGGCAAGCGUUGUUCGGAAUUACUGGGCGUAAAGGGCUCGUAGGUGGCCAACUAAGUCAGACGUGAAAUCCCUCGGCUUAACCGGGGAACUGCGUCUGAUACUGGAUGGCUUGAGUUUGGGAGAGGGACGCGGAAUUCCAGGUGUAGCGGUGAAAUGCGUAGAUAUCUGGAGGAACACCGGUGGCGAAGGCGGCGUCCUGGACCAACACUGACACUGAGGAGCGAAAGCCAGGGGAGCAAACGGG